Molecule: ribosomal RNA, 601 nt
Filed under: uncultured bacterium
Lineage: Bacteria
Description: bacterial SSU rRNA
Rfam family: Bacterial small subunit ribosomal RNA
Source: RNAcentral
CGCUGUAGUGUUACUGACGCUAAAGCUCGAAAGUGCGGGUAUCGAACAGGAUUAGAUACCCUGGUAGUCCGCACGGUAAACGAUGGAUGCCCGCUGUUUGCCCUUCGGGGUGAGUGGCUAAGCGAAAGCGUUAAGCAUCCCACCUGGGGAGUACGCCGGCAACGGUGAAACUCAAAGGAAUUGACGGGGGCCCGCACAAGCGGAGGAACAUGUGGUUUAAUUCGAUGAUACGCGAGGAACCUUACCCGGGCUUGAAUUGCAGAUGACGGAUCUAGAGAUAGUGACUUCCUUCGGGACAUCUGUGAAGGUGCUGCAUGGUUGUCGUCAGCUCGUGCCGUGAGGUGUCGGCUUAAGUGCCAUAACGAGCGCAACCCUUCUCUUCAGUUGCCAUCAGGUCAAGCUGGGCACUCUGGAGACACUGCCACCGUAAGGUGUGAGGAAGGUGGGGAUGACGUCAAAUCAGCACGGCCUUGACGGGCGGGGCUACCCACGUGUUACAAUGGCCGGUACAGAAAGUCGGAUGCGCGUAAGGUCAUUCUAAUCAAGAAAGCCGGUGCCAGUUCGGACUGAGGUCUGCAACCCGACAUCACGAAGCUGAUCG